Molecule: long non-coding RNA, 498 nt
Organism: Anas platyrhynchos (mallard)
Lineage: Eukaryota; Metazoa; Chordata; Aves; Anseriformes; Anatidae
Source: RefSeq, a predicted model, not a curated record
GCCUAGCAACACGGCUCAUCACAAAACAAACCCGCCCGCAGCUCCCCAUGAAUGCGGUGGCCAAAUACGGUCUCUCUAUCGAUAGUUCAGCACUCUCAGUGCGAUCCCUCGUGCCAGCACCGGACCGUAUCGCCUUUGUCACCGCGACCUCUGACUCAAGGUGCAGUGCGUGUGGCUGACUCCUCCACGUGGUGAUGACAACUGGCGUCGCUCCGAGUCAGUUUAAGUAGCAGUGAUGCAGAUGAAGAUAUUCUCAACCAGCAGACGAGUGUGGGAACCACUGCUGCUCCAUACAGCAGAAUCCAGGAGGGUCUUUUGUUGCUUUCUUCAGUGUCUAGGAAGUCGUAGGUGCUAGUGAGACUCCAGAGUUACAGAAUCAUAUGUUCAGUAAUUAUAGACAGGGUAGUAGUCUAUAAUUAUCAGCCUGCAGUCCUCAGGUGCUCUCUAUGUAUAUGCAUUUUAAUGACAAAGUCAUAAUAAAUAUUUCUAUUCCUUGAA